UGGGGAAUUUUGCACAAUGGGGGAAACCCUGAUGCAGCGACGCCGCGUGAUUUAGAAGGCCUUCGGGUUGUAAAAAUCUUUUUUACGGGAUGAAAAUGACAGUACCGUAAGAAUAAGGUCCGGCUAAAUACGUGCCAGCAGCCGCGGUAAUACGUAUGGACCGAGCGUUGUCCGGAAUCAUUGGGCGUAAAGGGUACGUAGGCGGCCUAGUAAGUUAGAAGUGAAAUAAUAUAGCUCAACUAUAUAAAGCUUUUAAAACUGCUAGGCUUGAGAGAUGGAAGGGUAAGUGGAAUUCCUAGUGUAGCGGUGAAAUGCGCAGAUAUUAGGAAGAAUACCGGUGGCGAAGGCGACUUUCUGGUCAUCAUCUGACGCUGAGGUACGAAAGCGUGGGUAGCAAACAGG
Molecule: ribosomal RNA, 402 nt
Filed under: bacterium
Lineage: Bacteria
Description: partial 16S ribosomal RNA
Rfam family: Bacterial small subunit ribosomal RNA
Source: RNAcentral